This 22-nucleotide non-coding RNA is filed under the name Arabidopsis thaliana (thale cress). Lineage: Eukaryota; Viridiplantae; Streptophyta; Magnoliopsida; Brassicales; Brassicaceae. The record is from RNAcentral.
AUCUACGAGCUAUACACACAAG